RNAcentral lists this ribosomal RNA (405 nucleotides) under uncultured bacterium. Its description in RNAcentral is "partial 16S ribosomal RNA". It matches the Rfam family "Bacterial small subunit ribosomal RNA", at positions 30 to 526 of the family's 1533-position model. The record is from RNAcentral.
AUUGAACGCUAGCGGGAUUCUUUACACAUGCCCGUCGAACGCGUGGCGGACGGGUGAGAACUAUAUCGGAAAGUGCCCAGUAGCGGGGGAUACCUACUCGAACUAGUGGCUUAUACCGCCUACUCUUGGCGCGGCCGGUAUCGGAUUAGCUAGUUGGUGGGGUACAGGUUCUCCAAGGCAACGAUCCGUAGCUGGUUUGAGAGGCAGACCAGCCACACUGAGACGGAGACACGGCACAUACUCCUACGGGAGGCAGCAGUGGGGAAGUUUGGACAAUGGGGGAAACCCUGAUCCAGCCAUCCCGCGUGUAUGAGAAGGCCUUCGGGUUGUAAAGUACUUUUGGCAGAGAAGCGGUAUCUGCAGAAUAAGCACCGGCUAACUACGUGCCAGCAGCCGCGGUAAUUC